Molecule: long non-coding RNA, 517 nt
Organism: Pundamilia nyererei
Lineage: Eukaryota; Metazoa; Chordata; Actinopteri; Cichliformes; Cichlidae
Exons: 3
Source: RefSeq, a predicted model, not a curated record
CAGCUUUGGAAUCGUCCUGUGGGAAGUCGCAACCCGUAAGAAACCCUUUGAAGGUUUUUCAGAUGAAGAAAUUUAUAGGAAGGUGUUAGAAGAGAAGUGCAAAGAGCCGCUUCCCGAUGACUGUCCUGCAGAACUGGGCCAGCUAAUAAACGAGUGCCGAGACUUCGAUAGCUUCCAGAGGCCUUCAGCUGGAGUACUGGUGGAUAGACUGCGCAGUGUGGUGGCACAGUUAGAGGACCAAUGAAACUCUUUAUCUGCCUUUCUGCUGGCCAGGCUCAUCCUCAGGGGAGGAAAUGCAGCUUUGAAUAAAACUGGACUUUAACUUGUGGGCCACUAAAUUGUAUUUAUAUUCUACCUUUAGGGUACCUGGGUCGUUGACACAGUGAUUUCAGUUUUGUACCUUUUUAUUAGUGUUCUCAUCUUAGUUUUUUUUUGUGAAGAUUUUGAUUUAUUCCCUCUAUUCUGUGUCCAGUCAGGCUGUUUCUGCCCUGAUCCCACGUCUCUGUUCCCUCUGUUG